CCAGUCGGCCGGACAGCCGCUGCCGCAAGCGCCGAAAGGCCGCGGGGGAGGAAAGUCCGGGCUCCAUGGAAACACGGUGCCGGGUAACGCCCGGCGAGGGUGACCUUAGGGAAAGUGCCACAGAAAGCAAACCGCCCCGGCCUGAUUGAAAAAUCUUGACGGGGUAAGGGUGAAAGGGUGGGGUAAGAGCCCACCGCGCAGCUGGCAACAGAGGCGGCACGGUAAACCCCACCGGGAGCAAGACCGAAUAGGGGCAGCGCGGGACCGGAGCGAUCCGGACCCAGGCCAGUUUCCAGGUCAGCUGUCCGGGUUGGUUGCGUGAGGCGUCUGGCAACAGGCGUCCCAGAUGAAUGGCUGUCACGUCCGCGAAAGCGGGCCAUACAGAACCCGGCUUACAGGCCGGCUGGCGUU
RNAcentral lists this RNase P RNA (411 nucleotides) under Roseibium marinum. Its description in RNAcentral is "Labrenzia marina Bacterial RNase P class A". It matches the Rfam family "Bacterial RNase P class A". Rfam says of the family: Ribonuclease P (RNase P) is a ubiquitous endoribonuclease, found in archaea, bacteria and eukarya as well as chloroplasts and mitochondria. Its best characterised activity is the generation of mature 5'-ends of tRNAs by cleaving the 5'-leader elements of precursor-tRNAs. Lineage: Bacteria; Pseudomonadati; Pseudomonadota; Alphaproteobacteria; Hyphomicrobiales; Stappiaceae. The record is from RNAcentral.